This is an RNA transcript of Condylostylus longicornis, 1686 nucleotides long. It is a transcript of the gene named nedd8-activating enzyme E1 catalytic subunit, with no coding region annotated. Lineage: Eukaryota; Metazoa; Arthropoda; Insecta; Diptera; Dolichopodidae. The transcript is spliced from 8 exons. The record is from RefSeq and is a predicted model, not a curated record.
AAUUAAAUAUUGUAGAAACUAGUGAUACAUACAAAUAUAACAACAGAACCGGUAUAAUUUUUCAACAUUUUCUGAUAACUUUUUUGAAAUCUAGUUCUUAAAGUUUAAAAUGGAACCAACAAAUUUAUGCACAACUGAUGAUACAUCCUACUUAUCAAAGAGAUGGAGUAACUUACGGAAAAUUCUUGAGAGGCCUGGGCCGUUUUGCCAUUCCUCUUAUGAAGCAUCACCUGAGAAUUUAGAGUUUCUACAAACUUCCUGCAAAAUACUGAUUAUAGGUGCUGGCGGUUUAGGAUGUGAAUUGUUAAAAGAUUUAGCUUUGAUGGGUUUUCGUGAUAUUCAUGUCAUUGAUAUGGAUACUAUAGAGUUGUCUAAUUUGAAUCGUCAAUUUUUAUUCAGAAGGAAAGACAUUGGUUAUUCAAAAGCCGAAGUUGCUGCAAAGUUUAUAAAUUCCAGAAUUCACGGAUGCAAAGUAACAGCUCAUUUUUGUAAAAUUCAAGAUUAUGAUGAAAAUUUUUACAGAAAUUUUCAUAUUGUCGUUUGUGGAUUAGAUUCAAUAGAUGCUAGACGAUGGAUUAACGGAAUGUUACUCUCUCUGGUUUGUUAUGAUGAAAAUGGUGCGGUGGAUCAAUCUACUAUUGUUCCAAUGGUUGAUGGUGGGACUGAGGGUUUCAAAGGGAACGCUCGUGUUAUUUUACCCGGCAUUACUGCUUGUAUUGAAUGUACGUUAGAUCUUUUCCCUCCUCAAGUAACAUAUCCACUUUGCACCAUUGCAAAUACUCCAAGGUUACCGGAACAUUGCAUUGAAUUUGUUAAAAUAAUACAGUGGGAAAAAGAAAAUCCCUUUGGAACAGCAUUAGAUGGAGACGAUCCUGUACACGUCACUUGGGUAUACGAAAAAGCUAUAGAGAGGGCGAAUCAAUAUAAUAUCACGGGAUUGUCCUACAGAUUAGUGCAUGGUGUUGUCAAAAAUAUUAUACCAGCUGUUGCCAGUACCAAUGCAAUCAUAGCAGCAGCAUGCUCUACUGAGGUAUUUAAACUUGCAACAAGCUGCUACGACGUUAUGAAUAAUUACAUGGUUUUUAAUGAUCUUGAUGGAAUUUAUACUUAUACAUACGAAGCUGAGAAAAAAGAAGAUUGCUUAGCUUGCAGUAACAUCCCAAAAGUUGUAGAUGUGGAAGAUCCAAAUACAAUGACCUUAGAAGAUUUCAUAAAGUUUCUUUGCGAGAGUAAUGAGUUUCGAAUGAAAAAUCCAGGUAUAACAGCUUUUAUAGAAGGGAAAAAUAAGACACUAUAUAUGUCCACGGUCAAAAGUAUAGAAGAACGAACUCGACCAAAUUUAGUAUUAUCGCUUGGUGAACUAGGACUAAAAGAUGGACAAGAACUUAUGGUGGCGGAUGCGACUAAUCCAAAUACUAUUACUCUAAAACUGAAAUAUAAUGCUAAUGACAUUGAAAUGAAGUCAGAUUAAAUAAUAUAUAUUAUUUUAGAUUAUUAGACCAGAUAUUUUCUUAUACGCUCACCUUUGAUGACAAAAAGUAGACCGUGGAACCAAGGGAUAUAGCAAAACUGGUUUUAAAAAAAAUUAUAGGUCCUAUAUUGCUGACAUUUUCUGAACCGUUUUUGCAAGGCAUAAAUCAUUUGUGAAACCUAUGCAGAGGUCUGUACCAAAAAACUAGGAGAUAC